Molecule: ribosomal RNA, 404 nt
Filed under: Actinomycetes bacterium
Lineage: Bacteria; Bacillati; Actinomycetota; Actinomycetes
Description: Actinobacteria bacterium partial 16S ribosomal RNA
Rfam family: Bacterial small subunit ribosomal RNA
Source: RNAcentral
UGGGGAAUAUUGGACAAUGGGCGCAAGCCUGAUCCAGCCAUGCCGCGUGAGUGAUGAAGGCCCUAGGGUUGUAAAGCUCUUUCACCGGUGAAGAUAAUGACGGUAACCGGAGAAGAAGCCCCGGCUAACUUCGUGCCAGCAGCCGCGGUAAUACGAAGGGGGCUAGCGUUGUUCGGAUUUACUGGGCGUAAAGCGCACGUAGGCGGACUAUUAAGUCAGGGGUGAAAUCCCGGGGCUCAACCCCGGAACUGCCUUUGAUACUGGUAGUCUUGAGUUCGAGAGGGGUGAGUGGAAUUCCGAGUGUAGAGGUGAAAUUCGUGGAUAUUCGGAGGAACACCAGUGGCGAAGGCGGCUCACUGGCUCGAUACUGACGCUGAGGUGCGAAAGCGUGGGGAGCAAACAGG